Molecule: long non-coding RNA, 4072 nt
Filed under: Canis lupus familiaris (dog)
Lineage: Eukaryota; Metazoa; Chordata; Mammalia; Carnivora; Canidae
Description: lncRNA (ENSCAFG00000052456.1)
Source: RNAcentral
UUUUUUUUGUUUUUGUUUUUUUUGUUUUUUUUUUUUUUUCUUUUUUUUUUUUUCUUUUUCUUUUGAAAUUAGUUUUAUGUAGUUUACAUUGCUGUCACCUCUGCAUAGCUGUUAACAGGCCUGACUGAAGCAGUUUAUAAGAUUCCUAUAUCUUAUAUAGGCUAGAAUGCUCUCUACUUUUAGUAAAGAAUGAUUUCUUUACUGAUUGGAUUUGGAGGGCAGAGCAGUGUGAAGAGAAUUGCUCUUCAGUCUUUAAAAAUACUUUUCUGUCUGGGACACCUGGGUGGCUUAGUUGGUUAAGCAUCCAACUCUUAGUUUUGGCUCAGAUCCUGACCCCAUGGUUCUGGAGAUGGAGCCCUGUGUCAGGCUCUGUGCUCAGCAGAAAGUCUGCUUAAGAUUCUCUCCCUCUGCCCCUUAACCCACUAACACUCUUUCUAAUAAAUAAAUGAAUCAAUAUAUUCUUCUGUCUUGCAGGAUCCUAAAUUUUGCUCUCCUGCUCUUUUCCCCUUUUAACUGUUUAGUUUUCAAAGGGCAUUUUUCCCCUUCCUUUUUUACACUCUUCCCCCCAAAAGAAUUGCCUUUCCAAAAUUGCUUCUGUGGGUCGUUUACAAAGUGCUCAGUCCCUUCCUACAGGGUGCUCUGAUCUGUAAGUAAGCUUUUUUCAGAACUAAAGUAUUUAGGGAGGAAUUUCUUUUCCUGAAAGUGAUUUUAAUCAGUCUUAAGCCUGUCACUAGCUCCCUUCUUGUCCUGUGCAAUUUUAUGUAGACCAUCCUUGCUCCUCACCAUGGUUUGCACAGGGGUGUGAAUGAUGGCUUGUUAUGAUUUGGUAUUCAUUUUUCUAUUUACAGAUAAUCUGUAGUUUGAACACUCUCUGUUCUGGUUAUGUUAAAACAUGGGUCAUGUGUGAUUUUAUUUGUUCUUCAUUAUUGUUUAUUUGAGGAUAUGUGAGGAGAUUCAGAUUCAUGCCUCUGUUGUUACCCCAGUUAACUGGUUUUUAAUAUUUUUAUAAAUAUUUUGUUUUUACUGGAUGAAGAACUGUCAGGCUCUUAAUGGUUGGGACAUGCUUAUUCUAGUACUGCAAUGAUAACAUUGCUUGAGAGCACUACUGCAACUGACUAAUCUUCACUGACUCAGUAGUCUGUAUAGUAUAAAGUGAAUUAUUACAGAUACUGUACCAUGGCAUUCAAAUAAUUCAUAAACCAUGUGAUAUGUAAUCAGACUACUGUAGAAGAAAAAUUAUUAACUAAAUACAAAAUAAUACAAAAGUCUUACAUACAAAAGGAGAUAUUUUUUUAAGGUUCUCUUUCCCCUAAGAAAAUUAUUUUCCUUAGUAAUCAAGUGUAAUAAAUUAGUAGUUUAUCAUAAUAUCUGUAGGAGAGUAUUUUAUUCACAGCCCACACUACUUUUGGCUUUUCUUGAGCUUUACUUACCAGAACACAACCCAUGUGAGAAGCCUAAGGACCAUACUAUUAAAAUUAAAAUAGCAAAUGAAAUUACUAUUUCUUUAUAUCUUAAAGAAUGCUUACCUAUACAUAAUAGAAAUCAACCUGGAAUUAGCUUUAGUAAAAUAUAUUUUGGGGACACCUGGGUGGCUCAGUUCGUCAAGCAUCUGCCUUCAGCUCAGGUCAUGAUCCCAGAGUCCUGGGAUUGAGCCCCACUGGGCUCCCUGUUCAGUGGGAAGCCUACUUUUCUCUACCUCUGCCCGUUGCCCUGCUUGUGCUUUCUUUCACUCUGCACUCUCUCACAAAUAAAUAAAAUCUUUAAAAAAACAGAGAGAGAGGCAGAGACACAAGCAGAGAGAGAAGCAGGCUUCCUACCAGGAGCCCAAUAUGGGACUUGAUCCCAGAACCCUGGGAUCAGACUUGAGCCAAAGGCAGACACUCAAUCACAGAACCACCCAGGUGUCCCAAUAAAUAAAAUCUUAAAUAAAAAAAAAAAAAUAUAUAUAUAUAUACACACACAUAUAUAUACACACACAUACACAUAUUUUGCUUUAGUAAACAUUUUUUUUAAAUGCUGAGACUUAGUAUUUUUAUUCUUGGAACUAUAACAAUAUUCCUUAAGUUACUGCACUUUUAAAAUUUUAUUUUAUAUAGAGUUAGAACUAUUAAGAAUUUGGUACUAUUCAGGUUCUAUCGGUUAAAUGAUAUGUGAUUUUAGGUAAAUAACUUUGCCUCUCUCGGCUGUUGUUUUUUCAUAUGAAAUAUGUAAUUAAUUUGAUAAUACCUAUUAUAAGAGAUUGUGAAAGAUUUAAUUAGUGUUUCCAAAAUACUUUUAACUAUUUGAAUGAAAAACCUCAAUGCAAAUUACCAAUAAUUAUCAUUUGGGCUAGUGCCUGUUACUCUGCUAACCACCAUUGCCAGAGUACUCAUUUUGGUAUCUUAUGAAACUAAGCUUAUCAAAAACCUACUAUUACACUCAAUAUAAAACCAUUUUACUAAUAAGUAUAGCUGUAUCUCAUAUAUAUAUGUAUAUUAUUUAAUUCUAUCAAAUACUAUGCAUCAUAUAGUUAUUAUAAACAACCUUUUACUUCCUAACAAAAAUAUUUUAAUAGGAGCUACUACUAUUUCAUAUAAUAAAAAUGUUUAGCCCUUCCUACCAUAUUUGGUGAGGUGACUUUUAACACUGCCCUGAAUCAAUGCUUUCUUUCUUAAUAGUUCUUGGAGUUAAAAUUUGUCUAUUCAUUUUAUAAUAGUAUCCAAAAACACUAACAAUAAUUUUAAAAUUUCUAAUGAGUAUAAUGUCUUACAUAAUUAGUAUCUUUUAAACAUUUUUUAUUUAAAUUCAAUUAACCUAUGCUGUAUUAUCAGUUUCCAAGGUAGAAUUUAGUGAUUCAUCAGUUACAUACAAUACCCAGUUACCCCAUUCCCCCACCCAUCUCCCUUCCAGCAACCCUGUUUGUUCAGUUGUCAAUUAAAUAGUAUAUUAAAGAUUUCUCAGCAACAAUAUUUACUCUAUCUGUCCAAAACAUACUUAGUGAAUAUGCACUACUAAUAGAUAAUAACCACUUACUAUUUUAAGCAACUUACAAAAAAUUAAGUUCCUAAACUUCCUUGUUUGCUCAUUUGUUUAACAUUUUCCGAAUGUCCACAGUUUGCAAGGUUUAUCUCUGGUUAUCCCAGAUAUUAGAAAUAGCACGUGGUCGCAGAGCAAGGAAUAUAGAAUAUAGGAUGGAGUUAGUCUCAGUUUACUCAGACGGGACAAUGACACACAACCAAGGAACAAUCUCCAGUAUCUCUUAUUAAACUGAGCACGCCACGCCAUUCCAAUGGACUUGUUGGAUCAUGCAGAUUAAAUCAAUAUUUAAGUUGGCCCAAGCACAUCAACAAUAUUAUUAAAAAGCCAUAGUUAGGGUACCUGCAUGGCUCACUGGGUUAGGCAUCUGCCUUUGGUUUAGGUCAUGAUCCUGGAGUCAUAGAAUCAAGCCCCACACCAGGCUCCCUACUCAACAGGGAUUCUGGUUUUCCUUCUCCCUCUCCCCCUGCUCCUUUUCUCUUUCUCACUUUCUCUAUCAAAUAAAUCAAUCUUUUUUUUUUUUUUCUUUUAAAGCCAUGGUUAGAAAUAAACCCUGGAUUUUCAGAGUCUAUUCUUCAUAGAGCUUAGAAUAAAUAAAUGAAAAAGUAUAAUAUUUUGCCUUUGUGCUUUGAUUAAUCAGUCACCACAACUGCUUCUCACUUCUAUUUGAAUUAUAUCCCUACUGCUUGGUCCAGCUGUAAUACCACAUCCACAAAGUCUACAGUGGAUUUUAUUAAUCCUGUAUUGCAAUGCAUCCUAUCAAUUCAAAAUUCCUAAAACGUAUGUAUUGAUCUUAGCUAUUAUUUCAACUAUGAGGGUCAGAGUCCUGGGACUUUACUAAUAUGACAUUACAAUAUAAACUCCUCACAGGUACAAAAAGUCAAAUAUAUAAGAAUGAAUGCUUAGAAAUUGUUUAAAAAUUAAAUAUGUGAAGUAAUGAAAAUAUAACCAUCUUCAAAUUUUCUCAAGUGUGAAAUACAUAAGCUGUCAAUACUACCUUUCAUUGCUAGUAUAAAUCAGUUGUUACCCUACUAAAAUUCUUAAAGUGUUUAAAAUA